CGAUUUCUGUUUGGCAGAACUUUACUGGAAUCAAAGGUUUAUCUGAGGCUAAAGUUGAUAAGAUAUGCGAAGCUGCUGAAAACCAUUUCAGCUAAGAGAUUUUAUAUCUCAUAUGUGUUCUUUGAUUAGGAAACACUUCAGAGACAAAUUCAACUUGUUAUUCAUAGUUUGAGAGAGAUGGCUCUGACGGGUUCCAGAAUACCCAUCAAAUGCAACAAUUUCAAUAUGCAUAAUUUAGUAUAGAUCAGGUUGUAUUCAUUCUAGAGUCGCAAAGGACAUACUUCUUUUGGAUGAUAUGGCAGCAAAGGAAACAUUAGAGGUGGCAGAUCAAGUAUCAGUUUCAUUCUUGUUAGAUGAUGUCUACUGCCAGUGCUAUCAUGAGGUUUUUGCAUAGGUUACGUUGUAGGUUUGGCAGCGCUAUUAUGAGUGAAUGAGUUGGAGGUUGUGUACAAGUUAAUUGUAAAUUUGGCAGCACUAUGAUGUGUUUCUUUAAUACUUUAUAGAGUUUGUAUUUGGAAUUGAUUA
This is a non-coding RNA of Prunus avium (sweet cherry), 525 nucleotides long. The record is from RefSeq and is a predicted model, not a curated record. Lineage: Eukaryota; Viridiplantae; Streptophyta; Magnoliopsida; Rosales; Rosaceae.